This is a long non-coding RNA of Heterocephalus glaber (naked mole-rat), 270 nucleotides long. The record is from Ensembl. Lineage: Eukaryota; Metazoa; Chordata; Mammalia; Rodentia; Bathyergidae.
AUCAGUUCUGUGCCUGGCACAGAGUUGAUAUUUGGUAGAAGCAUGGCUGCUCAUCUGUAAAGCCCCUGUCUACCUUCACCGGUUCCCUCAGGCACAUUCCAAGACUUGAGGAGCUGGUGGGACCUACGUGCACCUGGCUUUCCACUCUCCUGUGUCAGAACUUCCUUCCUGUGACUCACAGGUGCAAGUCCUGGGCUAAUGAGUCCCAGAGGAGGCCAGAACUUCCAGAGUCAGAGGUUUGUGGAGCCCGACGAGCUCCUCUGCGGUGUC